UACAUAGUGAAGGAAAUGCAGAGAGCUAUGGGCCGGGCAAACAUAAUCCUCUCUGAGGAGAAAGUGUUAAUGGGCUGUUGCUCAAAUUCAAAAAUCUAUCUAGUGUACAUUAAUCUGGACGGUUGCAAACAAGAGUUUGCAGAAACAUUUUCUGAGCAGGGUUGUGAUGAGGAUAUGUUUCAAAGAGCCCUGACCUUCUUCUCACCAGGUUAUGCCUGCUGCCUUGCUAAAAGACACUUCCCCUUUCCUCAGCCCAGCUCCACUGGUCACCUGGAGGGAGGGGUGUGUUUCUGUCAGUAUGUCUCACAGCAACUGAGUACAGAGCAAUGGGAAUAGUAAUGGCCACAUUAUUGUCUUUACUGUUAGAUUAAAGCUCACCAAAUCAACAUGUAAUGUCUUGACUAAUAAGAGCCACCAAGAGCCAUUAAAGGCACAGUCACUUAAUUCAUGUUAGAAGCCCCUCAGACAUCAGGAAGGAGGCUGUCACUUUAACAAACCUGAAAGCAGAACAGUGAGGAUGCUUGGCACCCUCUUCUUCCGGAGUUUACUUUCAGUUCUCGAUCACCCACACUGUGCGAUCACUCUUCAUUAUAUAUGCUGGAAUUUACUGUAUCAUGAACAGUUUCUUCGUAGAUAAUGGAGCCAAUGACCUGCAGACUGCAGACAUACAGUCACAGCCUGUCCCACUGUCUCCCUCUAUUAAUGAUCUUCCCACACUGGGAGAUGGCGAGUGUUACCAUGUCUUCAUUAGCUACAGCAGCACCGACUACCAGUGGACCCACUCCCUCAUCCACCAGCUGGAGUCCUUCGGCUUGCAGGUCUGCUACCAUGAGCGUGACUUCACUCCCGGCCGCACCGUGUUGGAAAACAUGUCCGACUGCAUCCAGGAGAGCCAGAAAGUCCUGCUGGUUCUCAGCCCAGAGUUUGUGAGGAGCCGCUGGUGUCUCCUGGAGGCCAACAUGUCUUUGUUCAGAGACUGCCUGCAGAGGAAACCCAUCGUCCCAGUGCUGCUGGAGCCAGGAGUCUCUGUUCCUCUCCACCUCUGCCACCUCACCUACCUGGAGGCCAAUGACCCGGACUUCAAGACUAAGCUGCUCAAGGUGCUCUGCACCCCCAACCAGCAGCUUCAAGGGUCCACUGUGGUGCCCUUCCAGCCUCCUUCUAUCUACAAUGGGAAGGCCCUGCAGUCUUUGAUUGCUGUCAAUGAUGAUGAACUCAAUGAAUGGGAUUGUGGUCAGUUCAGUGACAUGGAGGUGCCAGACCAACUGCGCCUGAUCAUUAAGGAUCAUGAGAAGUACAGAAAGGCUGUGAGGAUGAUCAAUGAUGUCUCUCAAAGUAAAGUGUGGUUUCGCCCACUCUGGGUUAGGGUACUGAUCUACCUUACAGGCAUAAUAUGUUUUUUAAUCAUGACAGCAUUUUCCACAGGUUUGACAAUCAUAUUUUGUAGUAGCCAAAGGUUUUACGCAUACCCUUUAGGAGUAUGGGUGCUCACUAUUUCUGGUUUCUGCUGUGUUCCAUUGGGGUUGUUUAUUCAGAUUUGUCUCUGGAAGUGGGGAGAUGUGAAGUACAUUGUGAGGGAAAUGCAGAAAGCUAUAUGCAAAGCAAACACAAUACUCUCUGAGGAAAAUGUGUUAAUGGGUUGUCGGUUCAAUUUAAAACAAAUCUAUCUAGUGUACAUUAAUCUGGACGGUUGCAAAAAAGAGUUUGCAGAAACAUUUUCUGAGCAGGGUUGUGAUGAGGAUAUGUUUCAAAGAGCCCUGACCUUCUUCUCAUCAGGUUAUGCCUGCUGCCUUGCUAAAAGACACUUCCCCUUUCCUCAGCCCAGCUCCACUGGUCACCUGGAGGGAGGGGUGUGUUUCUGUCAGUAUGUCUCACAGCAACUGAGUACAGAGCAAUGGGAAUAGUAAUGGCCACAUUAUUGUCUUUACUGUUAGAUUAAAGCUCACCAAAUCAUCAUGUAAUGUCUUGACUAAUACGAGCCACCAAGAGCCAUUAAAGGCACAGUCACUUAAUUCAUGUUAGAAGCCCCUCAGACAUCAGGAAGGAGGCUGUCACUUUAACAAACCUGAAAGCAGAACAGUGAGGAUGCUUGGCACCCUCUUCUUCCGGAGUUUACUUUCAGUUCUCGAUCACCCACACUGUGCGAUCACUCUUCAUUAAAUAUGCUGGGAUUUACUGUAUCAUGAACAGAAACAAAGACUUGUUUGAGAUGUGAGCGCCGCCAUGUACCACAGAAGAAGGAUCAAUAUUUGCUGUCCUUUACGACACACAAAGACGGGAUUCAGGAUAUGAAACGGAGACAUGACACCGUUGUACGGCAGGGAAUAUAAACCAUGAACAGAUUCUGAGAACACAGCAGUGACUCUGUCUGCGCUCCUUGCCAGUCUCAACAGCUGCUGUAACCCGUGGAUAUACAUGAUCUUCAGCG
Anoplopoma fimbria (sablefish) is the source of this 2428-nucleotide RNA transcript. It is a transcript of the gene named arginine vasopressin receptor 1Aa, with no coding region annotated. Lineage: Eukaryota; Metazoa; Chordata; Actinopteri; Perciformes; Anoplopomatidae. The transcript is spliced from 4 exons. The record is from RefSeq and is a predicted model, not a curated record.